RNAcentral lists this ribosomal RNA (429 nucleotides) under Bacteroidota bacterium. RNAcentral's name for it is "Bacteroidetes bacterium partial 16S ribosomal RNA". It matches the Rfam family "Bacterial small subunit ribosomal RNA", at positions 355 to 776 of the family's 1533-position model. The record is from RNAcentral. Lineage: Bacteria; Pseudomonadati; Bacteroidota.
UAGGGAAUCUUCCGCAAUGGACGCAAGUCUGACGGAGCAACGCCGCGUGAGUGAAGAAGGAUUUCGGUUCGUAAAACUCUGUUGUUAGAGAAGAACAGCGCAUAGAGUAACUGUUAUGCGUGUGACGGUAUCUAACCAGAAAGCCACGGCUAACUACGUGCCAGCAGCCGCGGUAAUACGUAGGUGGCAAGCGUUGUCCGGAUUUAUUGGGCGUAAAGCGAGCGCAGGCGGUCAAUUAAGUCUGAUGUGAAAGCCCCCGGCUCAACCGGGGAGGGUCAUUGGAAACUGGUUGACUUGAGUGCAGAAGAGGAGAGUGGAACUCCAUGUGGAGCGGUGAAAUGCGUAGAUAUAUGGAGGAACACCAGUGGCGACGGCGACUCUCUGGUCUGUAACUGACGCUGAGGUUCGAAAGCGUGGGUAGCAAACAGG